CUUGCUUUCCCUGGCUCCAGUCUAAAAGAGGUGGCUGUUAGAGGCUGCUGGGCCCUCACUGUCCCUGACACACUCUGAGCUUGCUUGGGGAGAGGCAAGAGGUUCUGUGGGGCCACUGCUGUGAGGAAAUGUCCUGAGCAUAGCCAUGAAUGGGGUUAGACAGGGCCAAAGGGGGAUGAAUUACAGAUAAUAUAUUUGCCGAAGUCUAGGAAGCUGGUGUGAUUACAAAUAGCCCUGCUAAUGGCGGAGUAAUCACAUGCAAAGCCCAUACCAUAAUUGAUUUGUGUUAGGAUUAAUGUCUCCCCCGCUACUGAAACUUGUGCACUUUUCUCCCUGCUGACAUUUCCUAGAGCUUACAGUUCCUGGUGGGGAUGAGCUACAAAACUUCGGACUGAUCCCAGAGUCACUGGGAAGGAUGGCUUGGAAGCUGGCUCCAGAAAGUGAGCAGGGAGAUAGCCCCACAGGCCGUAUUUGAAAACCAUCAAAAGGUACCUGGGUGAAGGUGGAAUUAAGACACCGCCCACCCCCCUCUACUUUUUACUGUUAUCUCAUCCAUACCUUGAAGGCUGAAAGUGCUGACACUCGUGUCCCCACCUGGUUCACACAGAAUAUGAGGUCAUGCUUGACGUGUACAGAUUGCUAACUUCUAAGAAGUACCAUGUCAGCAGUUACAUCAAUGUCUCAAGAUGAGAAGAAACAGAACCAGCAGAAUCAGCCUGUCCUUUCUCCCAUUUCAAGUUAACUCUCAAGAAAAAAAAAAAAAAUUCAAACAAACUAACAAAAAACCACAUUAAAUCAACAUCCCAGAUAACUGUACAACAUCACUGACUUCCAGCUAGAUCAACUGUUUU
Molecule: long non-coding RNA, 851 nt
Organism: Nannospalax galili (Upper Galilee mountains blind mole rat)
Lineage: Eukaryota; Metazoa; Chordata; Mammalia; Rodentia; Spalacidae
Exons: 3
Source: RefSeq, a predicted model, not a curated record